Molecule: non-coding RNA, 719 nt
Organism: Macaca mulatta (Rhesus monkey)
Lineage: Eukaryota; Metazoa; Chordata; Mammalia; Primates; Cercopithecidae
Source: RefSeq, a predicted model, not a curated record
GCUCGGCCUGCGGAAAUGGCCUCAACGCUUCAACCGGAAGCAGAAACUGACCGCGGCAGGCACCACCUAACGGCCGCUGGAGCAAAUCUCCACCCGGAAAGUCGCAACACCGGAAAAGGUCAGACUGUUUCCGGUAAAAACCCAACAGGGCUGACGUUCAGAGGGCGAGUCUCGAAUAUCCGGCCAAUUUGCCCAGCGCGCGUGCUCCGCGACGGCGUAUGCCUGCUUUUGCGCAGGCGCGGGGACUACUGCGCAGGCAAGCGCGUACGCAAACGCGUGCGCGUGCCCGUUCAACGUCCGGAGCAUCGGUGCAGUUUCGAGGGUAAAGCGUUUGGCGCAGUAAUGUGGACUUUUGUUCUCUAACUACAAGUCCCAGCAUACGUCACCCCUCACGUGGGCGCUAGGUGUGGUUUCGUGGGAUAGGGUCACCAGUGAAAAGUUGUGCAGAGCCCAACAUGAGCUUCAUUUCCAAGCUGCCACCUAUCUCUGCCUCCUGCGUAGCAUCCGGGAACAUGUGGCCCUACAUCAGGAAUUUCAUGGCAAGGGUGAGCGCUCAGUGGAGGAGUCUGCUGGCUUGGUGGGUCUCACGUUGCCCCAUCAGCCUGGAGGGAAGGGCUGGGAGCCGUGAACAUGGAGAGUAUCCUCGGAUGCUACAUUCAUAGGAGAACUGAAUAAUUUCUAUCAAUAUGUAUUUACCAUUAAAUUUUUUUUAAGUUUAA